RNAcentral lists this ribosomal RNA (478 nucleotides) under uncultured bacterium. Its description in RNAcentral is "partial 16S ribosomal RNA". It matches the Rfam family "Bacterial small subunit ribosomal RNA", at positions 28 to 523 of the family's 1533-position model. The record is from RNAcentral.
GACGAACGCUGGCGGCGUGCUUAACACAUGCAAGUCGAACGGUAAGGCCCUUCGGGGUACACGAGUGGCGAACGGGUGAGUAACAAGUGGGUGAUCUGCCCUGCACUUUGGGAUAAGCCUGGGAAACUGGGUCUAAUACCGGAGAGGACCCUGCGCUUUACGGCGGGUGGUGGAAAGCUUUUGCGGGGUGGGAUGGGGCCGCGGCCUAUUAGCUUGUUGGUGGGGUAAUGGCCUACCAAGGCGACGACGGGUAGCCGGCCUGAGAGGGUGACCGGCCACACUGGGACUGAGAUACGGCCCAGACUCCUACGGGAGGCAGCAGUGGGGAAUAUUGCACAAUGGGCGCAAGCCUGAUGCAGCGACGCCGCGUGAGGGAUGACGGCCUUCGGGUUGUAAACCUCUUUCAGUAGGGACGAAGCGCAAGUGACGGUACCUACAGAAGAGGGACCGGCCAACUACGUGCCAGCAGCCGCGGUAA